UUUCGCACGCCAAGGAUACAGCUACAGCCAGACCACAGACGAAGCGAAAGUUGGAAGCAGCUACAUCACUAGCGGGUAUCCAGAUGAAGCAAGGAGUGUUCAUGCUGUCCGUGUAUGCUCCUCGCAUUUCACCGAUAAUGUGUAUCUGGAUGAGAACAUCAUGGAAGUGCAACUUGGAUUGACACAAAAAAGGAACGAAUUGAAACUUGACGCCGUUCCGACAGUGUUCCACGAACAAAGCGAGCCAGCAACUUCGACACUGCAGGCAGUUCGACAGGGUCAAGCGCAAGUGAAGGACCAGGUGCUGCUGAUCAACUCCCGUCCAUCCAUGAAACGGCAUCAAACAA
Molecule: long non-coding RNA, 347 nt
Organism: Ornithodoros turicata
Lineage: Eukaryota; Metazoa; Arthropoda; Arachnida; Ixodida; Argasidae
Exons: 3
Source: RefSeq, a predicted model, not a curated record